This is a long non-coding RNA of Rhodamnia argentea, 2681 nucleotides long. RefSeq lists it as uncharacterized. The transcript is spliced from 3 exons. NCBI's taxonomy places the organism in Eukaryota, Viridiplantae, Streptophyta, Magnoliopsida, Myrtales, Myrtaceae. The record is from RefSeq and is a predicted model, not a curated record.
AGGCAUUGCCAAUUCUCAAGCUAGCCGCCAGAUCCUCUGUUCUUUUCACCAGGGAAGUUCGCUAUAAAUUACAAGGAGAAGACCCCUCGCUCCAUAUGAGGGGAUGUUGCUAAUUCUGCCGCUCGCGCUUCGUAAAUGAGAGUUCUUUAAGGCGGGUUGUCCUCUUUGGUGGGAAUUCUGUCUGUCUGUCCUCGAUUCUGCAAGCAUAGAAGCUCAACAAUGGCGGGAUUGUGAUUUAACACACCAACGGAUUGGUUCUGGUGUGGAGAUAUGGAAGACAAAGACAUCAGCCAGCAGUUAGGACGUCUGAUGCCAGGACUCAGGAUCAAGUAAGCGGAGUUUUGGCACCAGAAUCCCACAUCUUGAUUGAUAUGGUGGGAUGAACUUGAUAUGCUUCCUAUCUAUAGGAGUCUGCUUCUGUGAAAAAUUUACCAUUUUUCAGCCGCCUGUAUCCAUGUAGUGCUUAUGGACGGUCUUGUGCUAAUUGGGUAUUGCUGCAUUAGCACACAACAUAAGCAUAAGCUAGAGCGACAAGAGCCACCUUGUCUUUCAGCUUUCACCUCGUCUGAAUGGGGGAAGGCUAUCCACGCUGUGGCAGACAACAUCUGCUUCAUUGUCUUCAUCAGCUUUAGUAGGAACUUUGAAGUGCUUAUGGACGGUCUUGUGCUGAUUAUUGCUCCAUCAGUACAUAACAUAAAACCUAAGCUACAAUUACAUGCCACAGUUUCUCCGCUAGCUUUCUCUUCUUGCUAUUAUAGGGAAAGCUAACCAAAAUGUGGCAGAUAUUCAUGUACAUUGGGUAAAAACGAUUUUUUUAAUCCUUUCAGUCCAUUAGUCCAUUUCUUUCUAUCCUUCUCAUCCACUUACGCUCACAAACUAGAGAAUGCACAUUAUCGCAUAUGUUUGACAAGCAUUCUAGGUGAAUUAGCUAAAGUGCUGAAAAUGAGUGCCAUCAGAAUGUUUCAUCAUCAAUGUUUACUACUUUUACCUCUAUUCAAGUUCCUCGUACGACAUGCUUGAUUAAGUAGGGAUGAACUGAUGUCCUUUUGUGUUUGCUAAUUAGCAAGACCUUUUGGAAGCAGUGCAUGCUGCUGGAAUCGCUGAUAAGUUAGGUAAUCACUCUUUGUAGAAGCAGCCAAAUGCCCAAUGGCCCAGCAAUGAACCUCUUAAACACCAUUGUGUGUACCUUCAUUUUAGGGUUUUUGAGGAUAUAUUCAGUUCAAAUUUGGCAGGCUCUAGCAUGGAGUGAACUGGCUCACUGUUGUCCCGGUCGAUUUCUCCCACGACUAUGUAGACUAAAAAGUGGACCUUUGUGUCAUUGGGGUAAAGUGUGAGAGAUGCAGAAGGUUGAUACAAUUAAUUUGUUGUAGUGCAGCAUCAGGUGUUUGUACUAGCAAUCUUGGGAAGGGAUGACUAUCAUUUUGAGGGAUCUCUGGAGAUAGGGUUGACCUUUCAUGUACAAACUGGUUGGGAGUUGAUGAGCUUCCUAAUGAGGCCAUGGCAAGCUGAAAUCAAUUGUUGUGUUGAAAUGACCUGUAUAUCUCGCUCGAGGGACUAAGAUGCCCGAGCUAAAUUGGAUUUUGGUACAAUCGAUUGUGAGGAUGCGAUUCGUGAUAUCGUUCUUGGGAACGAUCUAUAGAGAAGGUUGGCCUAGUGUCUUGGCUCACUAGGCACCACAAGGGCUCAUCCUCGGCCAGGAAACUUUUGGCUUGCCACAAAUCAUAUCGAGCAAGUUUCGCAAGGUAUAUAUGCGGAUUCUAAGUAGAGAUUUGUUGCCCCAUUUUCAACAAGAAGAGGAACCUGUUGGUUUGCUGAGUUCAAGAGUUGCUGAGAUCAAGAGACGCCUAGUACGCAAAAGAAGGUUCUGCGAAUGGAGUGCAGUUGGCUCGGGAUGCCACACUUGUCAGGGAGAGCACAAGUGACUAGAGAUUCGCCAACAGCUUUGAUCGAGGGAAGCAACUGGUGGAGUGGAGUGGCCUGUUUUAUUAGGCGAGCAUUUGCUAUUCAUGUAAGUUCCGUGGGAGUGGCGGUGAUGGUUGAAGAAUGCAAGGAAGCGACAGAACAAUUUAACGAAGUUCUCAGUAGGCGAAAGAAAGUGCUGCUCAAGGAGUGCGGUUGGCUCGGAAUGCCACACUUGUCAGGGAGAGCACAAGUGAAUGGAGAUUCGCGAAUUGCUUUGAUCAGGGGAGCAACCAAUGGAAUGAAGGGUGGUUUGUUCUGUUGGGCGAGCAUUUGCCAUUCGUACAAGUCCCUUGGGAGUGGCGGCAAUGGUUGAAGAGCGCAAGGAAGCGACAGAAUAGCUCGCAACAAGGGUGCUGCUGAAAUUGGAUGAGGGAGAACCUCCAAGUUCUGAUUUCUCUCAUACUCACGUGGGUUGAAAAGUGGGGGCUCGGUGGCAUCGAAGUGAAGUGCGAGAGAUGCAGAAGGGUUCAUACAACUGUUUUAUGGGAGUGGCAUCAAAGUCUUUGUGCUAGGAAUCCAGGAUGUGGAUAUUAUCAUUUAAGAGGAUUUCUAAAGACGGGGUUGGCAUUCCGCGCAUAAAUUGGUUGAGAGCUAAUGCCGCUCUUCUGAUGAUGGCCAUGGCAAGCCGAAAUCAGUGAUUGUGCUAACGUGAUUUAUAUAUUUCCCUACUCCAUUGUUGAGAACGAUCUAAGUGAGAGAAGGCUGGCCCGAUGUUCCCA